CCUACGGGCGGCAGCAGUGGGGAAUAUUGGACAAUGGGCGCAAGCCUGAUCCAGCCAUACCGCGUGGGUGAAGAAGGCCUUCGGGUUGUAAAGCCCUUUUGUUGGGAAAGAAAUCCAGCUGGUUAAUACCCGGUUGGGAUGACGGUACCCAAAGAAUAAGCACCGGCUAACUUCGUGCCAGCAGCCGCGGUAAUACGAAGGGUGCAAGCGUUACUCGGAAUUACUGGGCGUAAAGCGUGCGUAGGUGGUCGUUUAAGUCCGUUGUGAAAGCCCUGGGCUCAACCUGGGAACUGCAGUGGAUACUGGGCGACUAGAAUGUGGUAGAGGGUAGCGGAAUUCCUGGUGUAGCAGUGAAAUGCGUAGAGAUCAGGAGGAACAUCCAUGGCGAAGGCAGCUACCUGGACCAACAUUGACACUGAGGCACGAAAGCGUGGGGAGCAAACAGGAUUAGAUACCCCAGUAGUC
This 465-nucleotide ribosomal RNA is filed under the name Aliarcobacter cryaerophilus. RNAcentral describes it as "bacterial SSU rRNA". It matches the Rfam family "Bacterial small subunit ribosomal RNA", at positions 338 to 795 of the family's 1533-position model. The record is from RNAcentral. Lineage: Bacteria; Pseudomonadati; Campylobacterota; Epsilonproteobacteria; Campylobacterales; Arcobacteraceae.